This 2045-nucleotide small RNA is filed under the name Pan troglodytes (chimpanzee). RNAcentral's name for it is "retained intron". The record is from RNAcentral. Lineage: Eukaryota; Metazoa; Chordata; Mammalia; Primates; Hominidae.
AAUGCAGGCUAUAUCCAAAAUACAGUGUGAAUUAGGCUAGAAUAGAAAUGCUUUCUAUUCUACCUUCAGAAAAGGAAAAGGGUAGGGUAGGGGAAAUCAUGGGAGAGAUUAAAGGCAGAGAGGAAACCCAGAUGGGACUGUUUAAUCCCCAAGCAAGAAACCACUAGGAAAGAGAGAUACCUUCCCUCUAACUUUUGUAUUCGGUGCACUGACAUUGCUCUCUGUGCUGGUGGGAAAUUGAUUUCUGUGCCAGGAUGUUCUAGGCUGAGGCCAAGAGGGUGCUGGCCCUUUACCCAGUGGAAGAAAAAGGCAAGGGUGAGGCUUUGUAGACUUUCCCGUUAGGAGGUAAUGAUGCCUCCUUCAGCCCCACUUCUUCAAACUGACUCCACCUGCUCCCAUCUCCACACCCUCCAUUUCUCAUUUAGCCAAAGCACAUCAUCCUUGCAGCCCACCACUCAGCUUGGCCAGGUGCGAGACAUCUUUCCCCACUUCAUACCUCCCCUCCGGCCAGGUGAUGUUUGCCUCCUCAGGUGCCCGUGAGGGGCUGUGGCUCCACAUCGAUGCUGCUUAUGCAGGCACUGCCUUCCUGUGCCCCGAGUUCCGGGGGUUUCUGAAGGGGAUUGAGUAUGCCGACUCCUUCACCUUUAAUCCUUCCAAGUGGAUGAUGGUGCAUUUUGACUGUACUGGGUUCUGGGUCAAGGACAAGUACAAGCUGCAGCAGACCUUCAGUGUGAAUCCCAUCUACCUCAGGCAUGCCAACUCAGGCGUGGCCACCGACUUCAUGCACUGGCAGAUCCCCCUGAGCCGACGGUUUCGCUCUAUUAAACUCUGGUUCGUGAUUCGGUCCUUCGGGGUGAAGAAUCUUCAAGCACAUGUCAGACAUGGUACUGAAAUGGCUAAAUAUUUUGAAUCUCUGGUCAGAAACGACCCUUCCUUUGAAAUUCCUGCCAAGAGGCACCUUGGCCUGGUGGUUUUUCGUCUAAAGGGUCCUAAUUGUCUCACAGAAAAUGUGUUAAAGGAAAUAGCUAAAGCUGGCCGUCUCUUCCUCAUCCCGGCCACUAUCCAGGACAAGUUAAUCAUCCGUUUCACUGUGACAUCCCAGUUUACCACUAGGGAUGACAUCCUGAGAGACUGGAAUCUCAUUCGAGAUGCUGCCACUCUCAUCCUGAGUCAGCACUGUACUUCCCAACCCAGCCCUCGGGUUGGGAACCUCAUCUCCCAAAUCAGGGGCGCCAGAGCCUGGGCCUGUGGAACGUCCCUUCAGUCUGUCAGUGGGGCAGGAGAUGAUCCAGUCCAGGCCAGGAAGAUCAUCAAGCAGCCUCAGCGUGUGGGAGCCGGUCCCAUGAAAAGGGAAAACGGCCUCCAUCUUGAAACCCUGCUGGACCCAGUUGAUGACUGCUUUUCAGAAGAGGCCCCAGAUGCCACCAAGCACAAGCUGUCCUCCUUCCUGUUCAGUUACUUGUCUGUGCAGACUAAGAAGAAGACGGUGCGCUCCCUCAGUUGCAACAGUGUGCCAGUGAGUGCUCAGAAGCCACUGCCCACAGAGGCCUCUGUGAAGAAUGGGGGCUCCUCCAGGGUCAGAAUCUUUUCCAGGUUUCCAGAAGAGAUGAUGAUGCUGAAGAAAAGUGCCUUCAAAAAACUCAUCAAAUUCUACAGCGUCCCCAGCUUUCCUGAAUGCAGCUCUCAAUGUGGACUCCAGCUGCCCUGUUGCCCUCUGCAGGCCAUGGUUUAGACCCAGGGCCUUCAGCCAGAGUCUGAGGAUAUACUUCAGGGACUCUGUGAACCCCUCACAAUUGUAUGCUAACUUUGUGUGCUUAUGUGUACAUGCAUUUUUCUUGGGGUGAGUUCAUAAUUUUAAUCAAAUUCUCAUAGGGGUUCAUGACCCACAAUAGGAUACAAACGAAGAGUUUAAGCCAGCAUGAUCCAGAUGGGUUCAGCAGGCUGGUCAGUGAGAAAGGGCCGAGGGUAGACAGGCAGCUUCUGUGGUUCAGCUUGUGACAUGAUAUAUAACACAGAAAUAAAUUAUGCUUGUCCCUGAAACAAAA